UGAGGAAUAUUGGUCAAUGGAGGCAACUCUGAACCAGCCACGUCGCGUGAAGGAAGACGGCCCUACGGGUUGUAAACUUCUUUUGUAAGGGAAUAAAGCGAGCCACGUGUGGCUUUUUGCAUGUAUCUUACGAAUAAGGAUCGGCUAACUCCGUGCCAGCAGCCGCGGUAAUACGGAGGAUCCGAGCGUGAUCCGGAUUUAUUGGGUUUAAAGGGUGCGCAGGCGGGAGAUUAAGUCGGCGGUGAAAUUUUGCAGCUCAACUGUAAAAGUGCCUUCGAUACUGGUUUCCUUGAGUGUGGAUGAAGUAGGCGGAAUUUGUGGUGUAGCGGUGUAAUGCUUAGAUAUCACGAGGAACUCCGAUUGCGCAGGCAGCUUACUAAACCACUACUGACGCUCAGGCACGAAGGCGUGGGGAUCAAACAGG
This 424-nucleotide ribosomal RNA is filed under the name uncultured prokaryote. RNAcentral's name for it is "bacterial SSU rRNA". It matches the Rfam family "Bacterial small subunit ribosomal RNA", at positions 355 to 776 of the family's 1533-position model. The record is from RNAcentral. RNAcentral also lists the same sequence under 1 other name.